RNAcentral lists this non-coding RNA (21 nucleotides) under Arabidopsis thaliana (thale cress). The record is from RNAcentral. Lineage: Eukaryota; Viridiplantae; Streptophyta; Magnoliopsida; Brassicales; Brassicaceae.
UAGAGAGUCGCCGUUAUUGAU